UACGUAGGUGGCAAGCGUUGUCCGGAUUUACUGGGCGUAAAGAGCGCGCAGGCGGCUGGGCAAGUCCGAUGUGAAAGCUUCCGGCUUAACUGGAAAAUUGCAUCGGAAACUGCUCGGCUUGAAGGUGGGAGAGGGUAGCGGAAUUCCCGGUGUAGUGGUGAAAUGCGUAGAUAUCGGGAGGAACACCAGUGGCGAAGGCGGCAACCUGGCCCACUCUUGACGCUGAGGCGCGAAAGCUAGGGGAGCAAACGGG
Molecule: ribosomal RNA, 253 nt
Filed under: uncultured bacterium
Lineage: Bacteria
Description: partial 16S ribosomal RNA
Rfam family: Bacterial small subunit ribosomal RNA
Source: RNAcentral